Molecule: ribosomal RNA, 423 nt
Filed under: uncultured bacterium
Lineage: Bacteria
Description: partial 16S ribosomal RNA
Rfam family: Bacterial small subunit ribosomal RNA
Source: RNAcentral
AAUUUUGGACAAUGUGGGGGAACCCUGAUCCAGCCAUCCCGCGUGUAUGAUGACUUCCUUCGGGUUGUAAAGUACUUUUGGCAGAUCAGAAAAGGUAUCUCCUACUCCGAGAUACUACUGCCGGUAUUUGCACAAUACGCACCGGCUAACUACGUUCCAGCAGCCGCGGGAAUACGUAGGGUGCAAGCGUUAAUCGGAAUUACUGGGCGUAAAGCGUGUGUAGGCGGUUCGGAAAGAAAGAUGUGAAAUCCCAGGGCUCAACCGUGGAACUGCAUUUUUAACUGCCGAGCUAGAGUAUGUCAGAGGGGGGUAGAAUUCCACGUGUAGCAGUGAAAUGCGUAGAUAUGUGGAGGAAUACCGAUGGCGAAGGCAGCCCCCUGGGAUAAUACUGACGCUCAGACACGAAAGCGUGGGGAGCAAACA